This 301-nucleotide ribosomal RNA is filed under the name uncultured bacterium. RNAcentral's name for it is "partial 16S ribosomal RNA". It matches the Rfam family "Bacterial small subunit ribosomal RNA", at positions 509 to 807 of the family's 1533-position model. The record is from RNAcentral.
CAGUCGCCGCGGUAAUACGAACCGUGCGAACGUUAUUCGGAAUCACUGGGCUUAAAGCGCGUGUAGGCGGGAGGGCACGUCCGUCGCUGAAAUCCCCCGGCUCAACCGGGGAACGGGCGCGGAUACGACUCUUCUGGAGGAACGUAGGGGGACCUGGAACUUCCGGUGGAGCGGUGAAAUGCGUUGAGAUCGGAAGGAACGCCCGUGGCGAAAGCGAGGUCCUGGACGUUUACUGACGCUGAGACGCGAAAGCCAGGGGAGCAAAUGGGAUUAGAUACCCCCGUAGUCCCUGUCUCUUAUA